CCUACGGGUGGCAGCAGUGAGGAAUAUUGGUCAAUGGACGAGAGUCUGAACCAGCCAAGUAGCGUGAAGGAUGACUGCCCUAUGGGUUGUAAACUUCUUUUAUAUAGGAAUAAAAUGUUCCACGUGUGGGAUUUUGUAUGUACCAUAUGAAUAAGGAUCGGCUAACUCCGUGCCAGCAGCCGCGGUAAUACGGAGGAUCCGAGCGUUAUCCGGAUUUAUUGGGUUUAAAGGGAGCGUAGGUGGAUUGUUAAGUCAGUUGUGAAAGUUUGCGGCUCAACCGUAAAAUUGCAGUUGAAACUGGCAGUCUUGAGUACAGUAGAGGUGGGCGGAAUUCGUGGUGUAGCGGUGAAAUGCUUAGAUAUCACGAAGAACUCCGAUUGCGAAGGCAGUUCACUGGACUGCAACUGACACUGAGGCUCGAAAGUGUGGGUAUCAAACAGGAUUAGAUACCCGAGUAGUC
This 460-nucleotide ribosomal RNA is filed under the name uncultured bacterium. RNAcentral's name for it is "partial 16S ribosomal RNA". It matches the Rfam family "Bacterial small subunit ribosomal RNA", at positions 338 to 795 of the family's 1533-position model. The record is from RNAcentral.